UAAUUUUGCUAGUGGCAACAACGCAGAUAUAAACAUAACCACAAUUUAAUGUUUUCGGUAGUUGAAGAGCAACAGGUUAAUGAAUAAAUUACAUUAAUUCUUUCUAAAUUGAUGAUAUUUCAGAAGUAUAAAAAAAAACAUAAGUGGUGGUCAAAAACACGGCAAAAAUAAGUGUUCAAAACUUUAUCUGGAAAAGGUAGUCGAAAGGUACACAGGAAUCAACAUGCCAAGAAAAUAUAUUCGCAAAGUAGGCUCUAAAAAAUAUCAUGACUUUGAAGAAAAAAAUAUGGAAAGUGCUAUAGAAGACGUGCAAUCUGGAAUGUCCUAUAGAACAGCUUCUGAAAAAUGGAAGGUAACCAAAUCAACUUUACAGAGAAGAUGUACAAAGUAGAAUUUAGGGAGUUAUGGAAGAUCUACAGUUUUGAAAAAAGCGGAAGAAGACGAAUUUAUUAGAGGGCUAACCACAGCAGCUGAAUGGGGAUUUCCCUUAUCUCACUUUGAAAUAAGGUGCAUGGUGAAACGAUAUCUGGAUAUUAAGGGUGUCAUAGAAAAACGAUUUAAAGAAAAUUUCCCUGGGCCCGAUUGGAUUUUAUCAUUUUUGCGUCGACACAGAGGUGAGCUAUUUACAAGAUUAUGUGAAAAAUAUCAAAUCAUCUAGGGCAGAAGUGGAUGAAAACGUGUUAAGGAAAUAUUUUCAAAAUUUAGCGGUUUCGCUUGAAGGAAUUCCACCGCAUCUAAUAAUAAACUAUGAUGAGACUAAUCUGACCGAUGACCCUGGGAAACAGAAGGCCAUAGUUAGGCGAGGCUGUAAACGUCCCGAAAGAGUAUUGGACUCUAGCAAAAGCAGCACCUCCGUAAUGUUUGCAGGAACCGCAUCCGGAAAGCUCUUACCAUGCUAUGUCGUUUACAAAGCUGAACAUUUGUACGACACUUGGCGGCAAGGAGGUCCAAGAGGAACCAGGUAUAACCGAUCGAAGAGUGGUUGGUUUGACGGGGUGAUGUUUGAAGAUUGGUUCAGCAAGAUUGCUCUAAAAUACUUUCAAAAAUAUGACAGGGAUGUUCCAAAAAUGUUAAUCGGGGACAACUUAGCUUCACAUUUAUCUAUAAAUGUGAUAAACCUGUGCAAAGCAUUUAAUAUUAGUUUUGUGUUAUUGUCCCACCAAACAGUACACAUUUUUGUCAACCCCUAGAUGUUGCUGUGUUUCGACCAUUGAAGACUUUUUGGAGGCAAGUGAUUAAUAAAUGGAAAAUGUCUCAUAGAGGGUGUAUUCCAAAAGAUACGUUUCCCAGUCUAUUAGCAGAGACACUAGAGAAGCUUAACAUAACUAUCGAGGAAAAUUUAAUAAGUGGAUUUAGGGCAACAGACAAUUUCCCUCUUGAUGAGGAGCAGGUAUUGAAACGUUGAAACGUAUCCCUCGAAAAGAACCAAGUGCUGAUGGUAGUACAAGCACUUUAUGGUCAGAAACUUUUGCUGAUAUGCUAUCGCAAAGAAGGAUAAACCAAAACCCAGAAAAGAAACGGAAAAAGAAAUUAAAAGUUCAACCAGGACUAAGUGUAGCUUGCUCUAGCAAUAGCAGUUCUAGCGGAGAUGAGAGCAGUGGGAACGACGAACAGUUUUCAUUACACGAUUCCGAAUCCUUAGUUGGCCAGAGAAACUUUGACGAUGUGGAUAUGGAGGAAAAUUGGGAAGAUUUUGACAAUGUGGAUAUAAACGAAAACCAAGAAGAUUUUAACCAAAGUGAUAUAGAGGAAAACAUGACAUUAGUUGAACUACGAGAUAAGAUUAACCAGGAAAGAAAUAAUAACCAACAAAAUGGACAAAAACAAAUCAUUGCUUCAACAAAAAAGAAACUCGACAAAUAUUAUAUUGGACUUGUCAAAUCAAUCCACUCUAAAGACGGACAUAAAUCAUAUUUUUGAAGCUUUAUGAGAAAAUAACAAAAAAUAACAAACAUUUUGUGUUCCCACAUUUAGCCGAUGAGUUUGAUGUCCCAGAGGAUAAAAUUGUAAGAUUGCUCAAAGCAACGAACGUGAGCAUUACUAGAGGCCGCCAUACGUUUAAUGAAUUAGAAAAUACAGAUUGGUUACAAUAAGGAGAACUCAAAUAAUGAUCCAUUUUUCUCGGUUUACAGAAAGUUUUUUUUGUUCUUGUGAUAUUUUUUUGUGUUUAGGGAACAUUUUUUUAGUUUCUAUUGUUCCUUGCGAUACAAAUCGAAAGGCUGUGAUUUUGAAUUUAUUUUUUUAGUUCCUUUUUGCUAAUUACGAUACAAAUCGUAGAGCUAUGU
Molecule: long non-coding RNA, 2285 nt
Organism: Anthonomus grandis grandis
Lineage: Eukaryota; Metazoa; Arthropoda; Insecta; Coleoptera; Curculionidae
Exons: 4
Source: RefSeq, a predicted model, not a curated record